This is a non-coding RNA of Perkinsus marinus ATCC 50983, 202 nucleotides long. The record is from Rfam. NCBI's taxonomy places the organism in Eukaryota, Perkinsozoa, Perkinsida, Perkinsidae.
CACCUGGUUGAUCCUGCCAGUAGUCAUAUGCUUGUCUCAAAGAUUAAGCCAUGCAUGUCUAAGUAUAAGCUUUAAACGGCGAAACUGCGAAUGGCUCAUUAAAACAGUUAUAGUUUAUUUGGUGAUCGAUUACUAUUUGGAUAACCCGUAGUAAUUCUAGAGCUAAUACAUGCGUCAAGGCCCGACUUCGGAAGGGCUGCGU